Molecule: ribosomal RNA, 498 nt
Filed under: uncultured bacterium
Lineage: Bacteria
Description: partial 16S ribosomal RNA
Rfam family: Bacterial small subunit ribosomal RNA
Source: RNAcentral
GACGAACGCUGGCGGCGUGCCUAAUACAUGCAAGUCGAACGAGAGCGACCGGUGCUUGCACUGGUCAAUCUAGUGGCGAACGGGUGAGUAACACGUGGGUAACCUGCCCAUCAGAGGGGGAUAACAUUCGGAAACGGAUGCUAAAACCGCAUAGGUCUUCGAACCGCAUGGUUUGAAGAGGAAAAGAGGCGCAAGCUUCUGCUGAUGGAUGGACCCGCGGUGCAUUAGCUAGUUGGUGAGGUAACGGCUCACCAAGGCCGUGAUGCAUAGCCGACCUGAGAGAGUGAUCGGCCACAUUGGGACUGAGACACGGACCAAACUCCUACGGGAGGCAGCAGUAGGGAAUCUUCCGCAAUGGACGCAAGUCUGACGGAGCAACGCCGCGUGAGUGAAGAAGGUUUUCGGAUCGUAAAACUCUGUUGUUAGAGAAGAAUAAGUGCUAGAGUAACUGUUAGCGCCUUGACGGUAUCUAACCAGAAAGCCACGGCUAACUACGUG